RNAcentral lists this ribosomal RNA (109 nucleotides) under Olea europaea subsp. europaea. RNAcentral describes it as "PK-G12rRNA". It matches the Rfam family "Eukaryotic large subunit ribosomal RNA", at positions 2661 to 2769 of the family's 3401-position model. The record is from RNAcentral. Lineage: Eukaryota; Viridiplantae; Streptophyta; Magnoliopsida; Lamiales; Oleaceae.
UCCUAAGAUGAGCUCGACGACAACAGAAAUCUCGUGUGGAACAAAAGGGUAAAAGCUCAUUUGAUUUUGAUUUCUAGUACGAGUAUAAAUCAUGAAAGCAUGGCCUAAC